UAAGGAAUAGGGUUAGCUCUCUUUGCCUUCUCUUGCUAUCUUCAAAGUAAUUUGUCAUAGAGAUCACCCACAGUCCUCCUCAUUUUAGUGCAGUGGCGAAGGAAGGAAGAGUCACUCAGUGCACCGAGUCGUCUCACAGGAAUAUUGCAGGAGUCUAAGAGUCGGCCGCCGUGGACUCCACCAGAGGCACCGGGAGUGCAUGAGCUCAGCCAAUGAAUGAAACUCCACGUGAUCAAAUUGUGAAACUGCGUGCGCGGCAAUAAUUAACCAUGGUUUUAGUCAAAUGCUUAUCAAUUUUCAAGAGAGAGAGAUGGCUGAGGCAGACAUGGGUAGAGCCAAAACUCAACCCCAACAUAUUAUCUAUUGGAAUAUACAUAAAAUAUUAUAUUUUUUCGUUUAUUUCAUAUUUGUUGAUAUUGUAUAUUCUCUAUUUAUGAAUUGAUUAAGAUUUAAUACCAUACUCAAAGAAAGCAGAUGGAGUCUUCAAGGAAAGACAGCUCUUGUCACGGGCGGAACAAAUAUAAAAGUCAUCAAUCCAUCAUGCGCAAUAAGAACUUCUCUCUGUUUUUUCUUUUCUUUUCUUUUUUCUUAAUACAAUAGUCGUUAUUUGUGUCAAAUUUUCUGAUGAAUUUUAUGUUGGUAUAGAUUUAGGAUUGCUAGCUUCGUUCUUAACCUUCAUGAGUGCCUGCAUGUAAUUAAACUCUACGAUAAAAUUUCAUUAAAUUAGAGGUAUACUUUUCCAACAUAUCCACACUGGAGGGUCCUCGAUCUCCAUUUCAACUAGGGGAUCCAAAUUCAUCCGCACCAAGGGUCUCAAGGCGAGCUAAUUACACUAACAACGACAUCAGUUCAGAUAUUAGCCUAUAAGAGAUUCUCUAUCUAAAGCUUUUAUGUAUUUACUCUAUACCCUAUAAAUAAGAACCUUUGUAUUAUAGACAAAAAAAUGAAACACAAUGUAAUCUAAGUGCCAUUUAAAGUGAUGAACGUAGGUGUUCAUCACGGAACCAUACGUAAUUCUUGUGUAUCUUUCUCUCCAUGCUCCUCUAUUAUUUUCCUAUUUUAUAUUUUUCGUAUAUUCUAACAUUAACCAUCCAGUUAUUUAAACCAUAAUUUUGCACAGUGAAAAGCAAAAGAUAAAUUACACAUUCAUAAAAUGUUAGCUUCUCUCGCUGUGCUUGCCCUUUUGUUUUCUUGGUCAACAAAUCGUCUUCGUCUUUCAUGGGAGCCAUUGUGAUCUCUCUCUCUCUCUCUUUCUCACCCAUCAUCUUGUCUUCCAUGGAGCCACAGUCACCGCAAGCCAAUCGUCUUCCAUGAGAGCAUCGUCAUCUCUCUCCUAUCGUCAGAUCACGUGGUAGAUGCCCUAACUAUGGUAGAAAUCAACAAUUGAGAAGAGCUGCACACCGUUUUUUGGUUUUAGUCCUAAUUCUAGUUUUUAAUCUAUUUUUUAUAAUCUUUUGGGAUUUUAGUUCAAUUUCAAAAACUUGUGUUGGAAAUUUUUAGACUUGGUCAUGGCGCUCCUGGAGACAGGGAAUGAGAUGGGGUUUGGACCUUUUUUUUUUUUUUUCCUAAGAGAAAUAACAAAUGUAAGAGACAUGCAUGUACUUCUCCAUUUACUAUUAAUCUUUUUCUCAAACCAACCAUUGAUCUUACAUCUUAUUUUAUAUGCUUUAGGAUGCAUGUGAUAGUGUUAUUUCCACACUUUUAUGCAUAGCUCUCAUGUGUGUUAUUAAAUUUUAAUUUUAAUUCAAAACAAUGAUAAGAUGAAAAAUGUGC
RNAcentral lists this long non-coding RNA (1773 nucleotides) under Betula platyphylla (Asian white birch). Lineage: Eukaryota; Viridiplantae; Streptophyta; Magnoliopsida; Fagales; Betulaceae. The record is from RNAcentral.